CCCCCCCCCCCCCCCCCCCCCCCCCCCCCCCCCCCCCCCCCCCCCCCCCCCCCCCCCCCCCCCCCCCCCCCCCCCCCCCCCCCCCCCCCCCACUGGGAGGGACUGGGAGGGACUGGGAGGGACUGGAAGGGGUUUGGGGGUUACUGGUUUGUACUGGGAUGAACUGGGAUCAAACUGGGAUGAACUGGGAUCUAACUGGCUUAUACUGGGAGGGACUGGGAGGGACUGGGAGGGACUGGGAGGGACUGGAAGGGGUUUGGGGGUUACUGGUUUGUACUGGGAUGAACUGGGAUCAAACUGGGAUGAACUGGGAUCUAACUGGCUUACAUUGGGAGGGACUGGGACGGACUGGGGGGAACUGGGAGGGGUUUGGGAGUUACUGGUUUAUACUGGGAUACACUGGGAUGGAAGUGGGAUCGAACUGGUUCGUACUGGGAUGGACUGAGAUGGGUUUUGGGGUUACUGGUUUAUACUGGGAGGCACUGGGGUGAACUGGGAUCAAACUGGGAGGGACUGGGAGGGAACUGGAAGGGGUUUGGGAGUUACUGGUUUAUACUGGGAUGGACUGGGAGAGGUUUCGGGGGUUACUGGUUCGUACUGGGAGGGACUGGAAGGGAACUGGGAAGAGGUUUGGCCUUACUGGGAUGCACUGGUUUAUACUGGGAGAGGAUUUGGGCUUCACUGGUUUGUACUGGUUUGUACUGGUUUGUACUGGGAGGCUCUGACUCUGCCCCUCCCCCCUCCCAGCGCGAGUGGGGGCGGAGCUUCUCCAGGGAGGACCAAUCGCAGCUGAGCUCCCAGUUCCUGCCCAACCAGGAGGCGGCGCUGGAGCCCCACCCCCAGAAGGUUUUCUGCGGGAUUUUCUCCGAGUGCGGCCGCAGGUUCCUGACGGCGUGUCAGGGUGAGCGACACGGAGCGGACCGGACCGGACCCGGACCAGCCCCCGACCCGGACCAGCCCCCGCCGUCCGCAACGGCAACACCCCAUAAUAACACCUCGAAAUAGCAUCCCGAAAUACCCCAAAAACAUACCAAAAUAUCCGGAAAUAUCCCAAAAUAUCCCCAAAAUAACAUCCCAAAAUACCCCANCCUGGGCUUCACUGGGAUGAACAGGGAAGGUGCUGGUCCAUACUGGCUUAUACUGGUUCAAACUGGUCCAUACUGGUCUGUACUGGUCUGUACUGGUCCGUACUGGUCCAUACUGGUCCAUACUGGUUUAUAGUGGUCCAUACUGGUCCGUACUGGUCCAUACUGCUCCGUACUGGUCCAUACUGGUCCAUACUGAUCCGUACUGGUUUGUACUGGUCCAUAGUGGUCUAUACUGGUUUAUACUGGUUUAUACUGGUCCUUACUUGUUUAUAGUGGUUUAUACUGGUUCAUACUAGUCCAUACUGGUUUAAACUGGUCUGUACUGGUCUGUACUGCUCCUUACUGGUCCAUACUGGUCUAUACUGGUCCAUACUGGUCUGUCCUGGUCUGUA
Molecule: long non-coding RNA, 1480 nt
Filed under: Ficedula albicollis (Collared flycatcher)
Lineage: Eukaryota; Metazoa; Chordata; Aves; Passeriformes; Muscicapidae
Description: lncRNA (ENSFALG00000020881.2)
Source: RNAcentral